AUGAUACUAGCAAUAGUCCUAUUCUUCUCCUCUCGAUCCUACCUUGGGUUAUGUUUGACAGGGAUGGUCAGUGAACUUCUAUCGGUUUCAAAGGAGGAUAGAGAUCCAUUGGGGAAGGCUCGAAAGGUUAUUCGAUAUCAAAGGUUGACCCUCGAUGCUCCGCAGCCACUUUUUUUUACUCCUUUUAUGCACUUAUGA
RNAcentral lists this ribosomal RNA (198 nucleotides) under Triticum aestivum (bread wheat). RNAcentral describes it as "partial small subunit ribosomal RNA". Lineage: Eukaryota; Viridiplantae; Streptophyta; Magnoliopsida; Poales; Poaceae. The record is from RNAcentral.